Long non-coding RNA from Mya arenaria, 2237 nucleotides. RefSeq lists it as uncharacterized. The transcript is spliced from 7 exons. Lineage: Eukaryota; Metazoa; Mollusca; Bivalvia; Myida; Myidae. The record is from RefSeq and is a predicted model, not a curated record.
UGAGGAGUGGUAUUAGCAUUGUGCAGAAUAGGGAAGUGUAAAAAACGACGUUACGUUGUUAUUGCUACCAUGUGGGAGGAAAGUGUCACGUGACAAAUUCACUCAAUGGCCGAGGAUUAAACAGACGGACUAUCGAAGGGAGUCUUGGGGUACUGAAUGGAACCUUCCCGACACCUGACCUGGGUAGGAUAAAGCUGCCGUGUCACAGUGUAACAGAAUGUGGGAAGUGUCACAGGUCACUCCAGGAUCAUUCACCUCCACACGCCUGAGGCCCUCCUUUGCAAGCCCGUCAACCACUUCAUUCCCCUUCAGGCUGACAUGAGCUGGGACCCAUACCAUGGACGUCUUUCUUGGGUGGAUGGAUUCAGAGAUGACCCCAGAGAUGCGGCCAUGACUGUGGCACAUGUACUUUAUAGAUAGUGACUGUAAAGAAAUGUUGAUAGUAGAAAAAAAAAUCUUGAUAUGGUUUUGUGGUGUUAAGUUAACUGACAAUUAAGUGUUCAUAAUUUGUCAGAAAAAAGUGUCAAAGCUGAAAUAUAUUCUGCAAAUUCAAAAUAAAGUGGUGAGCUGGAGUGAUAUUACAUAUAUAUAUAUAACAAGAAGGACAAUUUUGUUAUGGACCGUGACCUAGAAGUGAAAACCAGACUUUGGAAUAACACAGCUUAUAUGCAGUGUGCAGUAAUGAAAUUUCACACGAAAGUUUCUGAGGGUAUAGGCACCUAGUUUCUAAAAGAAUUUUACCAUGUUGCCGCUUGGGACAAUAAAGUCAAGUCAGCAACUGUCUACCAGAUGGCCAGAUUCAUCUCUUCCAAAGGAUGUCAUACCUUUCCAGAUACACUGUGUUGUGUGUGGAUAAGAAAUCCAGAGUGGUACCACAAGUCACCUAAGCCACCAUUCCCCUAACAGACGCAAGGCUCAUGGGGACAGUCCCUGCAGUUUACAGCAAAGUUCUCAAUUGUAGCCCUACUAACUUUAGGUAAAGAACGGAUCGAUGAUUUCCUGGAUAUGGACAAGACCAACUACCUGCAGGGAUUAAGCAGAAUAGAGCAGUAUUGAAAAACAAGAACAAAACUUUUUAAUGAAAACAAAACACUUUCGUUAGAAAGCACAGAAGAAAAAAGCAGCAAUGACGAUACACUGAAGUGAUUGGAGUUUCACCACGAUAAGAUACCAUAAAGAAAGUCAACAAGUCGGUCGGUUUUGCAGGUGGUCUGCAAAAGUGCAAAAAAUUGUGACGCAAACCAAAAUACUUAGACUAAAGUUUUCAAGAAACUGUACUGUCUUUGAACUUUAAACAUAUGUUCGCUUGAAGUGAAGAUGUAUUUGACAUAGUUAUGAUAUUGAGCAGUCCAAUAUUUGUUAGAGGGGGAAAGGAUUUGUAAAAGUUUCAAGAUGCAAACAAAUAAUCAUUCUCAAGACAAUAAUGAAUUAUAAAUAUUUAAAAGAUACAUACUGUGGAAGAACUUUUUAUACAUACUUAUUCACAUUAUUUAAGAAAAUUUGGACUCAGUUUGAUCUGUACCUAGCAAGCUAUAAUAUGCAAAUAUGGUAACUUUAUUAUUCAUAUAAAUUUAUUCUGAUGCCUUGAUUAACAGGUGUGAAAUAAAUAGCACAACAGCUACCUAUUUGUUUGACUGACCACUGUGCACACACUGUGAUAUAUAGCCAUAGAUAUUAAAGUAACCAUUAAAGCUGCACUCUCACAAAUUGACAGUUUUGACCUUUUGUUAUUUUUUUUGUCUCAGAGUCUAUAUAAUCAUAUAAUGAUAACACAAUUUAAUAGUUCUUUCCAGGAUUAGUGUGUCACUUUGUAUGUAAAUACACAUGGAUAUUUGCUCAGUAACCACAACAUUAUGUCAUUCUUGUUGUAUUUAUCAAAAGCUAAUGUAGCUUUAAAAUGUGUGUACAAUGUUCCACCAUUCUGUCAACUGCAUGCUGCAUUGUUGCUACUGUUAUAGUGAACUUUUUAUAAAAAUUGAGAUUGAGUUUCAAAGAGACAAUACAUAAAUCAGCCAACAAUUCAUUAAAUGGAGAUUUUUUGCAUUGAUGAGAUAUUGUUGCACACAGAUCUAGAAUAUUGGAGCCUUAGGCCAUAAUAAUACAAAAACCUUGUCAUAUGUACACAACCAUCAUUCAAUACAAUUAUUUUAAGAGAUUUGGUAACACGAGAGCUUAAUUAUAACAUUGUGUCAAAGUUUGUGAAUGUGUGUUCUUUGGAUGUUCAGUAAAUAUUUAUA